Molecule: ribosomal RNA, 1373 nt
Filed under: metagenome
Description: bacterial LSU rRNA
Rfam family: Bacterial large subunit ribosomal RNA
Source: RNAcentral
GGUACUUGUACAGUGAAGUGGCUGAUACCAUGCUUCCAGGAAAAGUCUCUAAGCUUCAGUUACACAGGAAUCGUACCCGAAACCGACACAGGUGGUCAGGUCGAGUAGACCAAAGCGCUUGAGAGAACUCUGCUGAAGGAACUAGGCAAAAUGGUACCGUAACUUCGGGAGAAGGUACGCUGCCGACGGUGAUGGGAUUUACUCCCUGAGCGGUUGGCAGCCACAGAAACCAGGCCCCUGCAACUGUUUAUUAAAAACAUAGCACUCUGCAAACACGAAAGUGGACGUAUAGGGUGUGAUGCCUGCCCGGUGCUGGAAGGUUAAUUGAUGGGGUUAGCGUAAGCGAAGCUCUUGAUCGAAGCCCCAGUAAACGGCGGCCGUAACAAUAACGGUCCUAAGGCAGCGAAAUUCCUUGUCGGGUAAGUUCCGACCUGCACGAAUGGCAUAAUGAUGGGGGCGCUGUCUCCAGCAGAGACUCAGUGAAAUCGAAUUCGCCGUGAAGAUGCGGUGUACCCGCGGCUAGACGGAAAGACCCCGUGAACCUUUACUGCAGCUUGACAUUGAACUUUGAUCUUACUUGUGUAGGAUAGGUGGGAGGCUUUGAAACUCGGACGCUAGUUCGAGUGGAGCCAAUCUUGAAAUACCACCCUGGUAAUAUUGAGGUUCUAACUCUGCUCCAUUAUCUGGAGCGAGGACCAUGUCUGGUGGGUAGUUUGACUGGGGCGGUCUCCUCCUAAAGAGUAACGGAGGAGUACGAAGGUGCGCUCAGCGUGGUCGGAAAUCACGCGUAGAGUAUAAAGGCAAAAGCGCGCUUAACUGCGAGACCCACAAGUCGAGCAGGUACGAAAGUAGGUCUUAGUGAUCCGGUGGUUCUGUAUGGAAGGGCCAUCGCUCAACGGAUAAAAGGUACUCUGGGGAUAACAGGCUGAUACCGCCCAAGAGUUCAUAUCGACGGCGGUGUUUGGCACCUCGAUGUCGGCUCAUCUCAUCCUGGGGCUGAAGCAGGUCCCAAGGGUAUGGCUGUUCGCCAUUUAAAGAGGUACGCGAGCUGGGUUUAGAACGUCGUGAGACAGUUCGGUCCCUAUCUACCGUGGGCGUUGGAAAUUUGAGAGGAUCUGCUCCUAGUACGAGAGGACCAGAGUGGACGAACCUCUGGUGUACCGGUUGUGACGCCAGUCGCAUCGCCGGGUAGCUAUGUUCGGAAGGGAUAACCGCUGAAAGCAUCUAAGCGGGAAGCCUACCUCAAGAUAAGAUUUCCCAAGGACUUUAUGUCCUCUAAAGAGCCGUUGAAGACUACGACGUUGAUAGGUUGGAUGUGGAAGUGCAGUGAUGCAUGAAGCUGACCAAUACUAAUUGCUCGUGAGGCUUGACUA